UGAUAAUUCAAGCAGAGGUGAAUAAAGUUCGACCACUUUGAAGCAGUUUUCAGUUCAAGUAGUUAAUUCAGGACUUCAACACCGUUCGAUUGUUUUUAUUCCCGACUCCUGAAGUAAGAUGAAAACGACGUUUGCUUUUGUGCUGUUCCUGGUUGCUAUGACUACCAUCUUGUCUUCCACCACGCAUGCGCUGACGGCCCUAGAACACUGUCACUACGACUGCUACGAAAAUCUUGGCUGGUGUCUACGCUUUUGCCAUGGCUCCAACUGUCGAUACUGCGCUGACUGGUAUUCCUCAUGUCGCAAAAAGUGUGAUCGUCGAUCAAGGGAAGUAAUUUGAUCCGUGCCGGAAGUAAGCUACGCAACCGAAAGUGCAUUGUACAAAACUAAUGUACAAAACUUAAAUUGGAAUAGUAAGAUGGAUUAUUCAGAAAUAAAGUGAAAAUUCAUAAUUGAA
Actinia tenebrosa (Australian red waratah sea anemone) is the source of this 457-nucleotide long non-coding RNA. RefSeq lists it as uncharacterized. NCBI's taxonomy places the organism in Eukaryota, Metazoa, Cnidaria, Anthozoa, Actiniaria, Actiniidae. The record is from RefSeq and is a predicted model, not a curated record.